CUGGUUGAUCCUGCCGGAGGCCACUGCUAUCGGAGUUCGAUUAAGCCAUGCGAGUCGAGAGGUGCAAGACCUCGGCAUACUGCUCAGUAACACGUGGACAACCUACCCUAUGGAGGGGGAUAACCCCGGGAAACUGGGGAUAAUACCCCAUAGACUAUAGAUGCUGGAAUGCUUUGUAGUUGAAAGGUCAGCCGCCAUAGGAUGGGUCUGCGGCCGAUUAGGUUGUUGUUGGGGUAACGGCCCAACAAGCCUGUAAUCGGUACGGGUUGUGGGAGCAAGAGCCCGGAGAUGGAUUCUGAGACACGAAUCCAGGCCCUACGGGGCGCAGCAGGCGCGAAAACUUUACAAUGCGGGAAACCGUGAUAAGGGAACUCCGAGUGCCCGUAAAAUCGGGCUGUCCAUCUGUUUAAAUAACAGGUGAAGAAAGGGCCGGGCAAGACCGGUGCCAGCCGCCGCGGUAAUACCGGCGGCUCGAGUGGUGGCCACUAUUACUGGGCUUAAAGCGUUCGUAGCUGGUCUGUUAAGUCUCUGGGGAAAUCUACUGGCUUAACCAAUAGGCGUCUCAGGGAUACUGGCAGACUAGGGACCGGGAGAGGUGAGAGGUACUCCAGGGGUAGGAGUGAAAUCCUGUAAUCCUUGGGGGACCACCUGUGGCGAAGGCGUCUCACCAGAACGGCUCCGACAGUGAGGGACGAAAGCUGGGGGAGCAAACCGGAUUAGAUACCCGGGUAGUCCCAGCCGUAACGAUGCGCGUUAGGUGUAUCGGUGACCACGAGUCACCGAGGUGCCGAAAGAAUUCGUGAAACGUGCCGCCUGGGAAGUACNUCGCAAGCUGAACUAAGGAAUGGCGGG
Molecule: ribosomal RNA, 852 nt
Filed under: uncultured archaeon
Lineage: Archaea
Description: bacterial SSU rRNA
Rfam family: Archaeal small subunit ribosomal RNA
Source: RNAcentral